UUUGAGGACCGGAAGCUGUGCCCUGCUGCUUCCUCUUUUCCUGCGACAGUGAGCGAGAGACACCAUGAAGGCGUCCGGCACACUUAGGGAGUAUAAAGUCAUCGGGCGUCUGCUGCCCUCUGCGAAGAACCCGGCGCCACCUCUAUACCGGAUGAGGAUCUUCGCCCCAAACCAUGUUGUGGCCAAGUCCCGCUUCUGGUACUUCGUCUCCCAGCUGAGGAAGAUGAAGAAGGCGUCCGGAGAGACCGUCUACUGCGGCCUGGUAGAGAAAACUCCUCUGAAGGAUGAAGA
Molecule: long non-coding RNA, 291 nt
Organism: Stegastes partitus (bicolor damselfish)
Lineage: Eukaryota; Metazoa; Chordata; Actinopteri; Pomacentridae
Exons: 5
Source: RefSeq, a predicted model, not a curated record